This 200-nucleotide ribosomal RNA is filed under the name uncultured bacterium. RNAcentral's name for it is "partial 16S ribosomal RNA". It matches the Rfam family "Bacterial small subunit ribosomal RNA", at positions 8 to 235 of the family's 1533-position model. The record is from RNAcentral.
AGAGUUUGAUCCUGGCUCAGGACGAACGCUGGCGGUGUGCCUCACACAUGCAAGUCGAACGGGGUAGCAAUACCCAGUGGCGGACGGGUGAGUAACACGUGGGAAUCUGCCUUAGGGUGGGGGAUAACUGACCGAAAGGUUAGCUAAUACCGCAUAUGUCGCAAGAUAAAAGGAGCAAUCCGCCAUAAGAUGAGCCCGCG